UAUCAGAUUAAGACAAUGAUCUUGAGAAAGUCAUUGAUCCACUUACUCCUUUUUCUUUUUCUUUUUUUUUUUUUUUUUUACAAGAGAGGAUAAUAUUAGUACCCACAUUUAAGGCCGUUGAGAGGAUUAACUGAUAUAUGUUAGGAAAAAUGGAUCAUUUAGUUGCAUUAUUAUCUCUACGAUUAUCAACAACUCUUUCUGUCAAUGUCAUUCAACUGAGACUUAUUGAGUGUCCACUGAGUUUCUGUAAAUGUUUCCUUCAUCUGUAAAUCAAAAUAGCUCCAAGGACUUUGGUCAUGGGACAGUGAAUUCUGGGGGAGGAGAGGAGAGAGAAGUGGGGAAGGCAGGCAUGAAACAAUACAAUCUCAGGGUGUGUGUAUAAGGUAAAGAGAACAAGGCUUGCCAUCAGGGGACAUGAAUUGAACCGUAAUUUCAGAAUCAAUCAGUGACCUUGGGCAUGUCAUUUAACCACAUUUGAAUUUUAGUUUUCCAAUGAAAGAAACAUGUACCUAAAACCUCUGUGAGAAAACAGCCCUCUGGACUUGGUGGGUAACACUUAGAUAGUUGCUGCCUCAACUGCAGACCUGCAUGAAGCCGGCAUUGCUUCCAGUCUGUGGCAGACAAAGCCUCCUCUGAAGACCUGAGGUUUUUCCUGGGGUCCUUCCAGCCUUGCAUAUUAAGGGAGAACUAAGGAGGGCUAAGCUGUGUAGGAGAGGCUACCUGGGUAGGGAUGGUGAUUUAGCGCCCACUCCCUGGAGAAAGCCCAGAGGAAGCUAAGAAGGAAAGCCAGCAAGUGCCUGCAGAGGUGGCCCAACCCUUUGGGACAAGAAGGGAGAAAUAAAUCUCUUCUUGGGACCCUCUGGGAAUAAAACAGGUGGGCAGGAGGUCUCUGUUCUCUUGAAGCCAGCCUGGUUUUUACUCUUCUUCUACUCUUAUUUUCUGGGUCCUCCCUUAAGAUUUCCAGAUUUUGAGAAAUUCCAGCUGCCACAUCUGAGCUAAAGGGAGAUAAGACAAAGGGUUUGUGCCCAGUUGGACUGGGGCAUUGAAAGCGCAGCCACAGGCUGGGUGCGGUGGGGCAUGCCUGUAAUCCCAGCACAUUGGGAGGCCAAAGCGAGAGGAUUGCUUGAGCCCAGGAGUUUGAGAUCAGCCUGAGCAGCAUAGUAAGAUCCUGUCUCUACUCAAAAAAAAAAAAAAAAAGAAGCCAGGCACGGUAGCACACACCUGUAGUCCCAGCUACUCAGGAGGCUGCCAUGGGAACAUCAUUUGAGGCCCAGAGUUCCAAGCUGCAAUGAGCCAUGAUCGUGUCACUGCACUCCAGCCUGAGCAACAGAGCAAGACCCUGUCCCAGAAAAAGAGGAAAAAAAAGAAUAAAAUAGCAACCUCAGCUACUGGGCCUAAGAAGGUAGUGGGAGCCAAGGGGUGGCAGUGGGGUGGGUAGUGGCAAGCCCCAAGAAUGACUAGCAUUGACACACAAGGGCCAUUUGGUCCCAGUUGUUUUUCCCACAUCAAGAAAGCCCUUCCAGAGCUAAAUCUACUUGGAGUUUUAUUUUAUUACCAGCAGCAAAAUUCUCUGACACUAUCUCCAAGUCUCAUACCCCAGACACCUCAGUACCUGAAACCCCAGUGGACUAACAACCCCUGCCAAACACUCAGCUAGGAGCAAACAUUCUGGACUCUUUCCAGCAGUGGCAAGGGGUUCCAUGGAGCCAACCACACUCUCCCCCAGGUGAGAAAUACUCUUCCAGGCCAUUGACUGCAUCCUCACUGCACAUACUGGAUGGCUAAAAAGGGUAUGCAGUCUAUGGCCUGGAAAGAACUUCUUCAGUUUGUAUGCUCAAACAUUGACCUCAUCAGUUCAGACUCUGCUCCAAUCCACAGAGCUGGCACACCCACAUGACUCCCCUUUGUGAUGUAAAUAGCUGGAUAAUCCAGAAGGGACACCAAGCCUGGGACUCUGUUCUAGAAAUUAAUCUGCUGUCAGAGGUCAAGUGCCUUCCACUGCAUGUCAAAAGGCCACUUAAAAAAUCAGUCUAGCCCCCUUUAUCAUCUGUGUUUGUUAUCAGUGUGCUACACCAAGCAUGGUAAAUGGGAGCUCCCAGUUCCAGGGAGCCUGCUUGCAACCCUUUAAACUCAAAUAAUAAUAUAACAGCAGCUAAUCGUUUUGUUUUGUUUUGUUUUGUUUUUUUCAGAAUGUAAUGCAUGCCAAGCAUAGAUUAUCUCAGAAAA
This 2226-nucleotide long non-coding RNA is filed under the name Homo sapiens (human). Its description in RNAcentral is "non-protein coding lnc-SIX2-4:1". Lineage: Eukaryota; Metazoa; Chordata; Mammalia; Primates; Hominidae. The record is from RNAcentral.